Molecule: microRNA precursor, 67 nt
Filed under: Mustela putorius furo (domestic ferret)
Lineage: Eukaryota; Metazoa; Chordata; Mammalia; Carnivora; Mustelidae
Also listed under: 1 other name
Description: mir-8/mir-141/mir-200 microRNA precursor family
Rfam family: mir-8/mir-141/mir-200 microRNA precursor family
About the family: The bounds of the precursors are predicted based on conservation and base pairing and are not generally known.
Source: Rfam by way of RNAcentral
GUCGCCAUCUUACUGGGCAGCAUUGGAUGGUGUCAGGUCUCUAAUACUGCCUGGUAAUGAUGACGGC